UACGUAGGGCGCAAGCGUUGUCCGGAAUUAUUGGGCGUAAAGGGCUCGUAGGCGGCUUGUCGCGUCGGGAGUGAAAACCUUGGGCUUAACUCAGGGCUUGCAUUCGAUACGGGCAGACUAGAGUUCGGUAGGGGGAGACUGGAAUUCCUGGUGUAGCGGUGAAAAUGCGCAGAUAUCAGGAGGAACACCGGUGGCGAAGGCGGGUCUCUGGGCCGAAACUGACGCUGAGGAGCGAAAGCGUGGGGAGCAAACAGG
RNAcentral lists this ribosomal RNA (255 nucleotides) under uncultured bacterium. RNAcentral's name for it is "partial 16S ribosomal RNA". It matches the Rfam family "Bacterial small subunit ribosomal RNA", at positions 524 to 776 of the family's 1533-position model. The record is from RNAcentral.